Molecule: microRNA precursor, 86 nt
Organism: Pan troglodytes (chimpanzee)
Lineage: Eukaryota; Metazoa; Chordata; Mammalia; Primates; Hominidae
Rfam family: mir-548 microRNA precursor family
Source: Rfam
UAUUAGGUUGGUGCCAAAGUAAUUGCAGUUUUUGCCAUUUAAAAAGUAAUGGCAAAAACUGCAAUUACUUUGGCACCAACCUAAUA